AGGACGAACGCUGGCGGUGUGCUUAACACAUGCAAGUGGAGCGACGAACCAGGGCUUGCCCUGGGGCAGAGCCGCGAACGGGUGAGUAACACGUGGGCAACCUGCCCUCAGCUCUGGGAUAACUCCGGGAAACCGGUGCUAAUACUGGAUAUCGACUUCUGCCUCGCAUGGGGUGUUGUUGAAAGUUUUUCGGCUGGGGAUGGGCCCGCGGCCUAUCAGCUUGUUGGUGGGGUGAUGGCCUACCAAGGCGACGACGGGUA
Molecule: ribosomal RNA, 260 nt
Filed under: uncultured bacterium
Lineage: Bacteria
Description: partial small subunit ribosomal RNA
Rfam family: Bacterial small subunit ribosomal RNA
Source: RNAcentral